Long non-coding RNA from Mesocricetus auratus (golden hamster), 900 nucleotides. RefSeq lists it as uncharacterized. The transcript is spliced from 3 exons. The record is from RefSeq and is a predicted model, not a curated record. Lineage: Eukaryota; Metazoa; Chordata; Mammalia; Rodentia; Cricetidae.
AGAGUACGCAGACUGACUGACUGAUUAGAGUUUCAGUACUGUGGAGAGACAGGAUGCUGCAGGUCCAGAGGCUAACCAUUUGCCUUCUCUUGGGCUAGGUUCUGGCUCUCCAGAACAGCCAUUCCUUACACCCUUCCCACCGGAACUAACAUCCUGUGGCAAUAGACAAAGUCGUUUAGAACCUAUUGACUUCACAGACAACCAGCUUCUACUUCCGGGAGCCGGGAAUGCUGCCGGAUAGCAUCUUGAGUCUACAGGAAAGCUAUCCCCAUCUCCAUCUACCUGUCCCUGGGAAUGUACCCACCAAAGUAUUUUAAACUUGCCUCGAUUAUCUCUGUUCUGGAAAACUACAAAAACCCGUGAAGCUGCUUCCACAGUGAAACAAGGUAUUUCAGGCAACAGAUGCAUGCAGAGUGAAGUCUCCCUAGCUCAAGCCAGCAAGAGUUGCCACUGUUUCUUAGGAUCCCCUCGCACUGGAGCUCAGAGGCACACUACAAAAAGGAGCUGAGAGAUUUGAAACAUAAGAAACCCACGGCCGGGUCCUUUUCUGACUUCCCAACAAAGGCAGAGAGACCCGCUGUAGUGACAAAGCUACGAGUGAGUGGCAGUGAGCCAGGCAGAAGCUGGGAUGGAUUUCCAAGGUGCCUGUGGAGAGCUUGCAACCAAAUGCAUUGUGCGACGGUAGCCUCUGGUUCGGAUUGCCUGCUUUAACAAAAAACGUUUGUCUCCUUGUUGUUGAGGACCAGGGAAAUGCUGCAAUGGCCAUGAGCUCUAUUAAAGCAUACAUUCUCAUGUUGUUCUUGCUCUUCACUCUUUGGGAGUGUUGUAUGCUUAGUAUGAAGGUCUACUAAAAGAUCUUUCCAAAGGUUCCCUACAUCUUUCUUGCCAAUAUUUGAUAUU